UACGGAGGGUGCAAGCGUUAUCCGGAUUUACUGGGUUUAAAGGGUGCGUAGGCGGGCAUGUAAGUCAGUGGUGAAAUACCGGAGCUUAACUUCGGAACUGCCAUUGAUACUAUAUGUCUUGAAUAUUGUGGAGGUAAGCGGAAUAUGUCAUGUAGCGGUGAAAUGCAUAGAUAUGACAUAGAACACCGAUUGCGGAGGCAGCUUGCUACACAAAUAUUGACGCUGAGGAACGAAAGCGUGGGGAUCAAACAGG
This 253-nucleotide ribosomal RNA is filed under the name uncultured bacterium. RNAcentral's name for it is "partial 16S ribosomal RNA". It matches the Rfam family "Bacterial small subunit ribosomal RNA", at positions 524 to 776 of the family's 1533-position model. The record is from RNAcentral.